RNAcentral lists this long non-coding RNA (2632 nucleotides) under Homo sapiens (human). RNAcentral's name for it is "PREDICTED lncRNA (TCONS_00265620)". Lineage: Eukaryota; Metazoa; Chordata; Mammalia; Primates; Hominidae. The record is from RNAcentral.
UCACCAGGUAGGCAGAAUAGUCUUAUAUAGCCAUUUGUUGUCCAGGGCAAUUUUGCCUAUUAAGUCUGUUUCCUCCCAGUUAACCUUCCUUCCAUGAGCCUCUGAAGCUUGAUGUCUGAACUCAGGGAUGGUUUGGAAACCCCUACUUAGGCAGUCUUGGGUCUUCUCAAAUACUGCAGUCUAAUACCAUGUCCUGCCUGCUCUAAAACUGACUCCUGCUCCUUCCGUCUGUUUUUCCCAGUUUACAGAUCUGGCUUGUGUAUUCACUCUCUACAUGUCUAUGUAAGUAACCACAUUCGCAUUGGCUGAGAAGUCAUCACUUGCAAAAUAGUCUUUAUUGAGUUCAAGAGCCAACAUGCUCUCUGGUCCUUCUAAUCCAGCUGUUCUCAACCUUGGCUGCACAUGGAAUCACUGAGGGAGGCCUUGGUCUGCAGUAAAGCCUACACACCUCCCCAGGACUAAGUACGGAUUUCUGAGUAUAACCAUGGAAGAAGACCCUCGAAAGGGAACUGCUGAGUUAAAGGAAAUGUGCCAUUUAUACUUUGGCUAAAUGUUCCCACACUUUCAUUCCUGAAGUUGUGCCAAUUUAUGUUGGUAGAAACAAUGUAUUAGAGCACUUUCCCCAUCAUCAUAAAUACAGUGACUUGGAAGCUAAGGCCCAGAGAGGAGGAGAAACUUGAUCAAAGUCAAUCAGACAAUGCAGAAUCGAGAAAAGUACCUGGACCUCUAUGCCCAUGCUUCUAGCAGCCAGCCUCCUAAAAUACCUCUAGUUGAAGCCAAAGUUAGAAUCCUUCUACGAAACUACAGGAUUAAAAUGGAAUGGUUACAUGACCCAGGCUUGACCAAUCAGAUCAUCCAAACCCUUUGCCACAGUGAUUGGUCCAGGGAUACAUGCAUGAGCCAGCUCAGGUAAAUGAGACUCAAUUAUAAGAAUUUUGUUAGCGCAAUUGGGAAAAAGAAGUUUUCUUUCCAUGAGAACUAUCAGCUAUAAGAAUGUUGGAUGCUUCCAUCUGCUGGAGUCCAUGAAGAAGGUCCAUGAAAAUGAAGCCAGCACAACAACACAGAGCUAAGACAUACAAAGAGAUGGAGAUUAAAUUGAAUGGAACUUUUAAGCCCCUACAUGCCCUUGAAGCCAGAUAUCCCUGAACUUUUAAUUUAUAUUAGUUGAUAAAGUCCUUCUUUAGCUUAAGCCAAUUUGAAUUAGAGUAUUUUUCACUUGGGGUCCAAAAGAGCUCUCAAUACAAAAGUCUGACUGAGUGCAUGAUGUGCUGGUUUCAACCUCAAGGGAACAGGGAAAGGGAAAGAAAGAGGCAGAGGUUGUGAACAGGACAGUAGAAGGUGGUCAGGAGACAAAUAUCUGGACUCAACUUUGUCCCUACUGUGUGGCCUUGAAUAGUGAGUUAACCACUCCGAGCCUCAGUUUCCCCAUCUGGAAAAAAAAGUUAGUGGACAGUCACUAGUUCUCAGACAGAACUCUGUAGCAGCGAGAGGGUAAUGGGGAUUGAGAGUCCCAGACUUGCAUUCUGAGGGACUAGCUCUCCUCUUAUCUAUAUCAUAUACCAGGUUUUCUUGUAAGGUUUUGUUAGAAUGGGUCUCACUGUUAAAAUGGAUUAGCUGAUCAUUUCAGUUCUAUUUAUAUUAAAGUCUAAAUUGAAUCAAGGCUCAGCUGGGGCCCAGUAAGAAUGUAGUGCCUGGUUAAUAAUAUUUUCUACUCUAUGAUAGGAGUUGGCCAGAAGCCAAGGUCAAAAACUCAAUCCCUGGAGGGUUUAUUUGCUUUCUGCAGACAUAAAAAAUUGUUAAUAACAAUGAUCUGCAUCCCCAAUCUUGAGAGCUGUCUUAGAGAUGUGGGUCAUUGAUCACAGAAGGGGCUGGGAAAAGGAAUGUGGAUGAUUCCAAAUAGUCAUUAGCUCUGCCUUAAAUGCCAAUACAAACACUACUGCCAAUGCUCAAGGCAAGCAACCUCUUCAUAGCUAGAACACAGAGGGUGGUGUGCUUGAAGGCUUUUGUUUCUCCUCAAGACAGUGUAGAAAAAGCUGAGAAAACAAAGAGCACUUGUUUCACAAUUAACUGCACAACACCUGAUGUAUAUCCACAGUCCUCUAAAUUAAUAUGGAUUCGCUUUUCUUUAUAAAGACAACAUACACAUUGUAGUGGAAAUCGGAUGGGAGGAUAAUUUUUAUGAAAGCAUAUAACAGUAUUUUUAUAAAAUAUAAAUUAUCAUUACAGUAAAAUAUAUUAACUUCAAGGCAAGUUUUGACACUGUAUGCAAGUUUAAAGUAUUUCAAAUUUUUAAAAAGUGUAUCUUAACAAAUAAAUUUUAGCACCAAUUGCCAGAAUUGUUGUCCACCACUAUAGUCAAAACAAUUUUCUUUUCUUUAUUUCAACUAAAAAUUGUGAAUGGGACUAAAGUCUUUAUGCAAAUAUAUACUCCAAUAAUAAUAUUAAUCUUGCCAACAGUAGCUGAAUAUUUAAUUAACUUUAACAAACAUGUUGAAAGAUAAUAAACUAAAAAAACUAUUUUUCCUUAUAGUCUCUGUAUAACUAGGUGCUUUCUCAUUAGAAAGCUUAUUUUUUCAAAAGUAUAUAUAACAUAGGUAAUUUAUAUUAAUAAAAAAUAAAAAGUUGCAAAUUU